This is a long non-coding RNA of Lutzomyia longipalpis, 849 nucleotides long. RefSeq lists it as uncharacterized. The transcript is spliced from 2 exons. The record is from RefSeq and is a predicted model, not a curated record. NCBI's taxonomy places the organism in Eukaryota, Metazoa, Arthropoda, Insecta, Diptera, Psychodidae.
ACGUGAGUUUUUGGUGGUGCCCCACGCUUUGGGCAAGCAUGUGACCUUGAUCGUGUUGUGAAAUUAUUAUUGUCACACCGGGACGCUUUAUUGAUUUCCUUUAAAUAUUAAAAGAAAUCUCCGUCGGUGCAUAUGAUCUUGUACUCAAUCAGCCCAACCGGAUGCUGGAAAUCAGAUUCUCUUGUAAAUCCAUUCCGACUGUCAAAAGCCACGUGAGGUACGCCGGAUAUCGCUGAAUUUCAUCGGGAAGAAAUACCUGUGAGCACCGCAUCCAGAGGUUCUUCUCAACCAUUGUCUACGUGAGUGUCUUCUCGGCGAUCGAAUGCGGGAUCCUGGCGAUCAUUUAUGGCACCUACAUUGCCCGUGUGAUGCGCUUCAAUCGAACCAGACCACCAAGAAACUCGCAAGCAAACUUGAUAAAGCAACGUGUACGGGCAGCUUCUAUUCUUCUCGAAGGACCUUCCUACUUGAGUCCCAAAGUGGGCCUAUUGAGCGACACCUGUUCUCACCCAACAACUGAUUCAGGAUCCCAGUGGAGUCGCUGACCCAACAUCACGGAACCCCAUUCACGCAAUACCAGCAAAAUAAGCUACUACUCAGAUACACGGAAACCCCACAGGAAGUGUCCACACGAAAGGCACGAUUUGCUGUAAAAAUUAGAAUUAGACAAGGAAUCACGCUCGAUAAGUUUAGGUCAUUUUAUUAGCAAGCUUUUACUGUUUUUAAUUCUCAAGUUGUUUAUUCUGUAUAAAAAGAUCAUUCAAGGGGGGAAAUCGUUAUGAUUGUGUGUGUGUGGGUGUUAAAUAAGACCGGAAAGGCAAAGAAAAUUAAAUAAAAGUAUAGAAGAAA